Mesocricetus auratus (golden hamster) is the source of this 228-nucleotide long non-coding RNA. RefSeq lists it as uncharacterized. The transcript has 2 exons. The record is from RefSeq and is a predicted model, not a curated record. Lineage: Eukaryota; Metazoa; Chordata; Mammalia; Rodentia; Cricetidae.
GCCAGCAUGACCUUCUGCUUUGCCAUCUUUAUCAUCAGCUAUGAAUGGGAAAGAGAGUUUGAUUUUCAGCUGGAUUCAUUUGAAGAUGAGGCCCUGGGGGAAGACGGAACUACAGGAUAAAGGAAAUUGGAUACCUGAAUCACAGCAUGAAGAAAACUGACCAGGGGUCACAUGUCUUGAGUGGCUAAGUGAAUGGGAAAUAAUCCUCUAUUAAAUCUGGGUCACAGA